RNAcentral lists this ribosomal RNA (440 nucleotides) under uncultured bacterium. RNAcentral's name for it is "partial 16S ribosomal RNA". It matches the Rfam family "Bacterial small subunit ribosomal RNA", at positions 338 to 795 of the family's 1533-position model. The record is from RNAcentral.
CCUACGGGUGGCAGCAGUGGGGAAUAUUGCACAAUGGGGGAAACCCUGAUGCAGCGACGCCGCGUGAGUGAAGAAGUAUCUCGGUACGUAAAGCUCUAUCAGCAGGAAAGAAAAUGACGGUACCUGACUAAGAAGCCACGGCUAAAUACGUGCCAGCAGCCGCGGUAAUACGUAGGGGGCAAGCGUUCUCCGGAUUUACUGGGUGUAAAGGGGGCGUAGACGGCGCUGCAAGUCCGGAGUGAAAGCCCAUGGCUUAACCAUGGUACUGCUCUGGAAACGGGAGAGCUUGAGUGCGGGAGGGGCAGGCGGAAUUCCUAGUGUAGCGGUGAAAUGCGUAGAUAUUAGGAGGAACACCGGCGGCGAAGGCGGCCUGCUGGACCGUAACUGACGUUGAGGCUCGAAAGCGUGGGGAGCAAACAGGAUUAGAUACCCCAGUAGUC